UAAAUAAUGAAACAUGUUCAAUUUGGUUUAAAUAAUGCAAAAACAAAGUGUUGGAGAUGAAAGUACAAGUGCAAUAUGUGCCAUGUAAGAAAGCUAAGGUUUAAGUGCUUUGCUCAGAACAUGAGAACAUAUGAAAGCUGGUGGUUCCUUUUAACAUGAGUCUUCAAUAAAGUUAGCUGUCUUUUCGGCUGCGAUCUGAAUAGGUCUGUCGGACACUUUUCUUGGGCCACUAUAACUAACUAUUUUGCCAACUUGGACAGGUCCCCCCUUCCACACGGAACCCCACUAACCCACAGACGGAAACGCACGAGGCGGCUAAAAACAGACCUCCCUCCCAUCUUCCACCAGCUUGCUACCUAUGGCCCGGCUAGCUGUCUGAUUCUCACUGGACCCUCUGAUCACUCGGCUAAGCAUGCCUCUCCUUAAUGUCAAUAUGCCUUGUCCAUUGCUGUUCUGGUUAGUGUUUAUUGGCUUAUUUCACUGUAGAGCCUCUAGCCCUGCUCAUUAUACCUUAUCCAACCUCUCAGUUCCUCCACCCACACAUGCUAUGACAUCUUCUGGUUUCAAUGAUAUUUCUAGAGACAAUAUCUCUCUCAUAAUCACUAAAUGCCUAGGUUUACUUCCUCUGUACUCACAUCCCACCAUACCUUUGUCUGUACAUUAUACCUUGAAGCUAUUUUAUCGCCCCCAGAUACCUGCUCCUUUUUCUCUCUAUUCUGGACGUCACAGACGACCAAUUCUUAUAGCUUUUAGCCGUACCCUCAUACUUAUCCUUCUCUGCUCCGCUGGGGAUGUAGAGGUGAAUCCAGGCCCUUCAGUGCCUGGCUCCACACCUACUCCCCAGGCGCUCUCUUUUGAUGACUUCUGUAACCGUAAUAGCCUUGGUUUCAUGCAUGUUAACAUUAGAAGCCUCCUCCCUAAGUUUGUUUUAUUCACUGCUUUAGCACACUCUGCCAACCCGGAUGUCCUAGCUGUGUCUGAAUCUUGGCUUAGGAAGUCCACCAAAAACUGUGAAAUCUUCAUCCCUAACUACAACGUUUUCAGACAAGAUAGAACGACCAAAGGGGGCGGUGUUGCAAUCUACUGCAGAGAUAGCUUGCAGAGUUCUGUCCUGCUAUCCAGGUCUGUACCCAAACAAUUUGAACUUCUACUUUUAAAAAUCCACCUCUCCAAAAACAAGUCUCUCACCGUUGCCGCCUGCUAUAGACCCCCCUCGGCCCCUAGCUGUGCUCUGGACACCAUAUGUGAACUGAUUGCCCCCCAUCUAUCUUCAGAGCUCGUGCUACUAGGCGACCUAAACUGGGACAUGCUUAACACCCCAGCCAUUCUACAAUCCAAGCUUGAUGCCCUCAAUCUCACACAAAUUAUUAAUGAACCCACCAGGUACAACCCCAAAGCCGCAAACACUGGCACCCUCAUAGAUAUCAUCCUAACCAAUGUGCCCUCUAAUUACACCUCUGCUGUUUUCAACCAAGAUCUCAGCGAUCACUGCCUCAUUGCCUGCACCCGUAAUGGGUCAGCGGUCAAACGACCUCCACUCAUCACUGUCAAACGCUCCCUGAAACAUUUCAACGAGCAAGCCUUUCUAAUCGACCUGGCCCUGGUAUCCUGGAAGGAUAUUGACCUCAUCCCGUCAGUAGAGGAUGCCUGGUUAUUUUUUAAAAAUGCCUUCC
This is a long non-coding RNA of Salmo trutta (river trout), 1673 nucleotides long. Lineage: Eukaryota; Metazoa; Chordata; Actinopteri; Salmoniformes; Salmonidae. The record is from Ensembl.